GGAGCCUACGGCUGCGGGGAGGCUCCGGCAUGGCGGGCUGCAGGUCCGGUGCCCUGCUCUGCAGGGAGGCAGCUGAGGCCCGGCGAGAAUUCCAGCGCAGUGCCGGCGGGCGGAACUGCUGGGGGACCCGGCGCACCCUCCGCAGCUGCUGGCCCGGGUGCUAAGCCCCUCACUGCCCGGGGCCCACCGAGCCCACGCCCACCCGGAACUCGCGCUGGUCCGGCGCGCAGCCCCGGUUCCCGCCCGCGCCUCUCCCUCCACACCUCCCUGCAAGCAGAGGGAGCCGGCUCCGACCUCGGCCAGCCCAGAGAGGGACUCCCAUAGCCGGCUCCGAUCUCGGGCGGCCCAGAGAAGGACUCCCAUAGUGCAGCGGCGGGCUGGCGGGCUGAAGGGCUUCUCAAGCGCGGCCAGAGUGGGCGCCAAGGCUGAGGCGCCGCCGAGAGCGAGCUGCCAGGACGCUGUCACCUCUCACUGAGAUUACAGGAAAAACACUGCAUAAACAUGGCAUCCAAAGAGAGGAAGCAGAGACAUGAUGCACCAACUACUACUUUAGUAAUUGAAGAGAGAGAGAAGAGCCUGAAGUCAUUCAAUAAUUAGAUCAAAUAAUUUACUAAUGGAUCAUUUGUCUUCCCUUCCAAUGUAAGUUUAAAUUCUUAUUACAGAGAGGGACAAGGAAAUUGUGGAAAAAACACAAAGAAUUUGAGACUCCUAGAACCUAAAUAUUGGCCCAACUACAAGUACCAGAAAAUCAAAAUUCCAAUACAUUGAACAAACAGGAGUUCAUCUUUUUCUCCAGGUAGGUAGGCAAGUAUAGAGCUCCAUGGCAACAUCAAUGACUCAGGAUCCUUUUAUCUUUCUAUUCCAGCUUCCUUAGCAAGUUGGCUAAUUGCUCCAUGGUCACAAGAUAGCUGCUGAAUCUCUAGAAAUCAUUCCCAAGUCCCAUUCAGGAAGAAAAUAAAAGGGUGCAUUGGCUUUUUCUGUUUCCCUCUUCUCAGAACUCUCUCAGCAGACUUUCACUUACGUGUUAUAUAGUCCAGAACUGGAUGGCAUGGCUCCCCACCGUGUGCAAGGGAGAUUCAACAGGAUUUGGUUUUUCAGCCUCUGUUGGGAGAGACCAAGAGACAGAAGGAGACUGGGUAACACUGUCCACCGUAACCACUUAGUAUAGUGAUAACUCUGGGCAAAUAUUAAUUACUACUGGGCUAGUUGAAAGUUUCUGGGAAGCAAAUCAGUUGCUAAGCACAUGCUCUAUGAGAACCCAUAAUAUAAAUAAGAAGAAGAAAAAAGAAGGUUUAAAUGUUGGCUUACUUAGAGGAAUGCCUAGUUUCUUCUCUAUCACUGUGGUAACCACUAGGUUACAACUGUUACCUUUUCUCACAGAAAGACAAUUCCAAAACAGACCUCAAAUGAAAAUGCUACACAAAUAAUGGAUUAAUUGGGUACCAUUUCUACUCUUCUCAUCAUGUUUUACAAGCAGUUGAAAUAAUAUGUGCCCUUCCCAGUCCCUUUUUAGUAUUUGUCAGUAGAAUAGAGUGUCAAAAACGACUUACGAUGCCUAAAACAUUUAGAAAUUAAAAUAGCAUGUGGUGGUGCCAUGACCUUUUCAAUAUGCUGGUGUUUCAAUUGUUCAGCCAUUCCUCUUGUUCUUUUUCCUGACUGUUCUUUAUCAGAGGAAAAGGUAAAUUGGCACCUCAAGUAUGGAGUACUCAAAGGAACUAAACAGCACAUUAUUGAAACAAUUCAGAGGCAAUCCCGCAUAGCUUCCAAGUGCCAUGGAAACAAAAGAUGGUAACUUUAUUAAUUGUGAAAGGUUGGGGGAACGAAUUUAGUAUCUUGCUUUGCCAGUUUUCCUCUAGUGCACAGUAUAGUUUCCAGGACCUGCAUACAAACAUCAGUUCAUGAUCAAAAUGUGACCUUGCCUGUCCCGAUGAAUAAAACUAAUAAAUUCCCCAAUGAUAUGCUUAUUAUGCUUCUCUGAGGGAAGAUGGUUGCUUUCGUGUCAUUGUGGUUCCAUAAUAUCUCUUGGAAGGAGGCUUCUGAGGAUGCCCAAGCUGCUCCUCUGGGUUUCCCUAACACCCUGCAUGCGCUCAUCGUGUAGAAAUUGCCACAUAGCGUUACAGGUUUCUGUUCACUUAUUUCGUCUGCCCAGUGGGAAUGUGAUUUCCUGAAGAGCACCUAGCACAUGCCUAAAACACAAAAGGACUUCACUAAACAUUUGCUGAAUAACUACCACCUGUGCCAAGAAGCAGACCGGCUUCCGCUACAACUGACAGCCCUUCUCUCCUGCUAGUCAGAGAUUCUCUGUCUUGGAAGAGACUUUAGGAAACAGCAGACAUCUUGGAUGUGUGCCUGCCUGCAUUACCACCUUCUCCAGUUUUAUCCUAAAGCUGACUUCAGUACAGCUCUCCCCAAACUGUGGAAACUUUGGAUGACUACCUAAGAACUCCACAAACUCAAGCAGCUUUAAAGCCACUCUGCAACUUUCCUACAAUGAAAGAGGAGGCAGGUACCAUUCUCAGAUAAUACCGAUGAAUUCAGAAACCAAAAUAAAUCUGAAAAAAUGUAGUGCUUCACACUUACAUUUAUACCCUUCUCCCUUCUUGCUUUAUUCCCCAGAAGUGAGUAGCUCCUGAAACUGAUAGCCAAGAGAUGUUCAGGAAGAACCUGUCCCCAAACAGGUGUUUGCACACCCAAGUUAUGUAGGUGUCGGAGUAGAG
This 2717-nucleotide long non-coding RNA is filed under the name Homo sapiens (human). RNAcentral's name for it is "HSALNT0092693". The record is from RNAcentral. Lineage: Eukaryota; Metazoa; Chordata; Mammalia; Primates; Hominidae.